UGAAUUCUGAAUUGAUUGACUGCCCCAAGAUAGAGACAUUUUCCUGGCUUACCAUUUCUGGUUGUAACUGUAAUUUUGUUGCAGAAAUCCAAAAUCCCACAGAGGUUAAGUGGACAGUGGAGGAUUUUAACAAUGGUACCCGACUCCUCAAUCUGACUUGGGGUACACCACCUUAUCCAGUCUCUGUGGGACAGGUGAAUUACAACCUCUCUCUCCAUAUUUGGCCUUGCCAACUAAAGCGAAAGAACCACACCAAUAUCACUACCACUGUGUUUAGUGUUUAUGUGACUUACUCUGCUGUCAGUGGUUACAUUUUUGCCUUUAAUAAGGUGGGAAAGUCAUCGCAGACACAUAUCCUUGUCCCAGCAAAACAUCUUACAUAUGCCAGGAAGUGUAAGUAUGUGUGUUCGUUUGUGUGUGUGUGUGUGUGUGUUCGUUUGUGCUUUUGCUUCAUUUAUUUCUACACAAUGAUGUUCAUUCCUUAAAUCAACAUUUUGUUAUUUCAUUUCCAAUUAGCUUGGCCUGAUGACAAACUCAUCCCACGCAAUUAUACCCCUCGCCUUAAAAAUUCCUGUCUGGAAUGGUACAAGCUAACAGACGGAGAAACACAACCAGCCAAAGUGAAUAUAUCAAAAAUGAUGAAUGGAACAGUGGAGGAAACACUCAAAUCUAUCAGACAAAAGAUGGACGACUAUGUACGUUACUUUUACCUCGUUCACAAACAAACUGAUGGAAAGCCACAAACAACAGAAAUGCAUCUCAUGUACA
Oncorhynchus tshawytscha (Chinook salmon) is the source of this 768-nucleotide long non-coding RNA. RefSeq lists it as uncharacterized. Lineage: Eukaryota; Metazoa; Chordata; Actinopteri; Salmoniformes; Salmonidae. The transcript has 3 exons. The record is from RefSeq and is a predicted model, not a curated record.